AAUAGCUCCUCCCGCCCAUAAUCAACAAGAUGUAGUACAGCAUUUCUGCCACUGGGAGGCGGUAGCACACUCUUACAGUAUUUAAGAUGCCGUUGCAGCCUGUGUCGGAAUGCAUGUGAGCAGAAGACGCCCCGUGGUGUACGUUGUGGUCGUCUACCAGGGUUUAACAGCACGGUUACAAUUGUAAUCUUCAAGUGUUUUGAUCACGUGUGACUGCCGUGCACCACGCCCUCUAGCGGACACGCGUGGGAAUUGUUCCGCCUGAGGCAAAUACAUAAUUGUGCGGAAUUAAGUCAAAUUGACAUCAGUAAUCGCCGCUUUAAUCCACGCGGAGUUCUCGGGUGUGAGGCGUGAAGCAGGAGUUAAGUACAAGCCGCCUGGCAGUGACGUCAUCCGGCGUUUGGCAGUAAUCCCGCCUGCAGGCGGCUCAGGAGGACGCGUGCUCGUCGUCAUCAUCAUCAUCAUCAUCAUCAUCAUCACCUGAGCCACGCGUGUGGGAUUCAUCUGACCAAGUUUUUCGCGGGAAACCGCUGCCCACGUCACACGUCAUGUCGGCACGCGUGACCUGCCGGCCUUACGUCACUCGCACCGUUGCCAGGAGCCGCUCCGAGGAAGCUGCAGGAUGAGAAUGUUGACUGCGAGUCUCAAGCAGGGAGCCGCAAUAAUGAGCUCGGCGUCGAUGAGUCGGCGAGGACCUGCCGAACGAAAACGCUUGUGACACACGAGGAGCUGCGGCCCAGCGGAAGUAAUGUGGAGGUGCACCCAAUGUCGCAGAGACUGCAGAGAUAGAAAAGUGCACAGUUGUCAUCGCUCUCUACAUGCUCGGACAAUUAUCUAGUAUGCUAAUUGUUGACAUGCUAACAUGCACGGUAUAAAACAAAGAUGCUAAACUGACAGUUGACUGGUAGAAAACAAAGAUGGUUACCUUGCUAGCAAGAAAGUGGCAAAUAAUAUCCACUACUUUUAGUUUUAUACCUGCAAAAUUGGCUAGCAUGCUAACAGAUGACGUGCUAACACGCUAACAAUUAAGAUAUUAACACAUUAGAGCCAACUAAUAUCCACUACUUUUAGUUUUGUACCUACAAAAUUGGCUAACAGAUGCCGUGCUAACAAUUAAGAUAUUAACACAAUAGAGCCAAAAUAUAUCCACUACUUUUAGUUUUAUACCUGCAAAAUUGGCGAGCAUGCUAACAGAUGACGUGCAUCAGUGGUAUUCAGUGAGGUAAAAUGAAGUAAAUACGCUGACACUUCGUUGCUCCUGCCAAAUGAAUAGCACUGAGUGGAGUGGAUCACCACUCCAAGAUGGCGGCCCCGCGUCUAGUCAGCGCCAGUAGGCAGUAGCGCUCAAUGCUGCGUCUACUUAUAAGUGUCAUGAUCCGCUACUUGGAUCAUGUCAUAUUCGGUUUUUGGUUCCGUUUUGUAUCUCAUCUUGUUAGUAUUUGACUUCCUUAGUUCCU
This is a long non-coding RNA of Nerophis ophidion (straightnose pipefish), 1457 nucleotides long. RefSeq lists it as uncharacterized. The transcript is spliced from 3 exons. The record is from RefSeq and is a predicted model, not a curated record. NCBI's taxonomy places the organism in Eukaryota, Metazoa, Chordata, Actinopteri, Syngnathiformes, Syngnathidae.